Molecule: ribosomal RNA, 490 nt
Filed under: uncultured bacterium
Lineage: Bacteria
Description: partial 16S ribosomal RNA
Rfam family: Bacterial small subunit ribosomal RNA
Source: RNAcentral
AUUGAACGCUGGCGGCAGGCCUAACACAUGCAAGUCGAACGGUAACAGGAAGCAGCUUGCUGCUUUGCUGACGAGUGGCGGACGGGUGAGUAAUGUCUGGGAAACUGCCCGAUGGAGGGGGAUAACUACUGGAAACGGUAGCUAAUACCGCAUAACGUCGCAAGACCAAAGAGGGGGACCUUAGGGCCUCUUGCCAUCGGAUGUGCCCAGAUGGGAUUAGCUAGUAGGUGGGGUAACGGCUCACCUAGGCGACGAUCCCUAGCUGGUCUGAGAGGAUGACCAGCCAAACUGGAACUUGGACACGGUCCAGACUCCUACGGGAGGCAGCAGGUGGGAAUAUUGCACAAUGGGCGCAAGCCUGAUGCAGCCAUGCCGCGUGUAUGAAGGAAGGCUUCGGGUUGUAAAGUACUUUCAGCGGGGAGGAAGGGAGUAAAGUUAAUACCUUUGCUCAUUGACGUUACCCGCAGAAGAAGCACCGGCUAACUCCGUG